Molecule: ribosomal RNA, 457 nt
Filed under: uncultured Desulfobulbus sp.
Lineage: Bacteria; Pseudomonadati; Thermodesulfobacteriota; Desulfobulbia; Desulfobulbales; Desulfobulbaceae
Description: bacterial SSU rRNA
Rfam family: Bacterial small subunit ribosomal RNA
Source: RNAcentral
UGGAGUAUGUGGUUUAAUUCGAUGCAACGCGAAGAACCUUACCUGGUCUUGACAUCCCGGAGACCCUUAGGAAACUAGGGGUGCUUCCAUCUGGAAGAAUCUGGAGACAGGUGCUGCAUGGCUGUCGUCAGCUCGUGUCGUGAGAUGUUGGGUUAAGUCCCGGCAACGAGCGCAACCCUUGCCUUUAGUUGCCAGCAGUUCGGCUGGGCACUCUAAAGGGACUGCCGGUGUUAAACCGGAGGAAGGUGGGGAUGGACGUCAAGUCCUCAUGGCCUUUAUGACCAGGGCUACACACGUACUACAAUGGCCGAUACAAAGGGCAGCGACACUGCGAGGUGAAGCCAAUCCCGUAAAAUACGGUCUCAGUCCGGAUUGGAGUCUGCAACUCGACUCCAUGAAGUUGGAAUCGCUAGUAAUCGUGGAUCAGCAUGCCACGGUGAAUACGUUCCCGGGCCUU